RNAcentral lists this ribosomal RNA (252 nucleotides) under uncultured bacterium. Its description in RNAcentral is "partial 16S ribosomal RNA". It matches the Rfam family "Bacterial small subunit ribosomal RNA", at positions 524 to 776 of the family's 1533-position model. The record is from RNAcentral.
UACGUAGGGUGCAAGCGUUAAUCGGAAUUACUGGGCGUAAAGCGUGCGCAGGCGGUUUUGUAAGUCUGUCGUGAAAGCCCCGGGCUUAACCUGGGAAUUGCGAUGGAGACUGCAAGGCUUGAAUCUGGCAGAGGGGGGUAGAAUUCCACGUGUAGCAGUGAAAUGCGUAGAGAUGUGGAGGAACACCGAUGGCGAAGGCAGCCCCUGGGUCAAGAUUGACGCUCAUGCACGAAAGCGUGGGGAGCAAACAGG